This 67-nucleotide transfer RNA is filed under the name Marmota monax (woodchuck). RNAcentral's name for it is "tRNA.Ala". Lineage: Eukaryota; Metazoa; Chordata; Mammalia; Rodentia; Sciuridae. The record is from RNAcentral.
GGUUGUGGCUCAGCGGUAGAGUGCUUGCCUAGCACGAUCAAGGUCCUGGGUUUGAUCCUCAGCACCA